UUGCUCGGCUUGUCGAACGAG
Molecule: small nuclear RNA, 21 nt
Filed under: Arabidopsis thaliana (thale cress)
Lineage: Eukaryota; Viridiplantae; Streptophyta; Magnoliopsida; Brassicales; Brassicaceae
Description: snRNA_03341
Source: RNAcentral